RNAcentral lists this small RNA (28 nucleotides) under Bombyx mori (domestic silkworm). RNAcentral's name for it is "ovarian small RNA-20480". Lineage: Eukaryota; Metazoa; Arthropoda; Insecta; Lepidoptera; Bombycidae. The record is from RNAcentral.
UACAUUGAGAAUCAGUGUGUCCAGGCCU